UGUUAUCUCUCUUUGACCCACUCAUAACAUGCCAACAUAACAAAUUUGCGUUCAGCAGAACCAAUCUUGUGUUGUUAGCUCUAUUAUUAGAGUGGAUUGACCUAUUAUCAAACUUAAAGUUAGUAUAACAUUAUCUGUGUUCAUACGUUGGCUGUUUUAUAAUAUUUCAAUUUUUAUGUAGUACCUGGGUACAAUAUUGCACGAGGGUCAGAAAGAAAAAACAAACAGUGUGCUAGCUGGCGUUUGAUUGAAUGUUGAGUUAAAAACGUAGAGCAAUGAAUGAAUUACUAAGAAUUCCUAUCAAGUCUGAAUAUACGAAAAUCGCCAAAAACCAAGUUCAGAACUAAGUAUAUUAAGGGAAUAGGAGAUAGCCUUGUUUCAAUAAGGAUAACAAUGUCGCAUGGAAGAAAUAAAUAAAGAAAGCUUCUAAGAUUAAUCAGUUAAGUAAAGUGGCACAAGAGGGAUUGAUGGCUCAAAAAACAGGGUUGAACGGUUAUUGACAAAUAUAAAAAGUACUAGAAGUAGAGAUGCAGAUGAAUUUAAAGAAGUAUGUUGAAGGUCCUUAGCGAUGAAUGGACAAUGGACAUACCAAAUCUGAUAGGAGUUUAACAUUGUCAGCCACAGCCACCCUGUCAACAAGUAAGAUUGCAAUAUAUUUCAAAAGCCUAUGAACAAUGGCAUUAAAUUAACAUUUUUCACUACCAGACAUUUUCUGUAAUAGCUAUGGUAAUUGAUCAAUAGUGGAGGUGGAUGUUAUUGCUAAUGUACUGUAUUUUUUUAUUAUCAUAACAAUUUUAAAUUAAAUAAAGUACAAGACUUGCAUAAUUUGACUUGCUUUAAGAUUGAUUUAAAGCUACAGAAGCAUAAGUAUCGACUUUCUUUAAUUCUUUACAGAAACUAUUUUAUCUACAUUGAUCAAUCAUGGCUUAUGAAAACAUAUUAAGAGGUAGAUUGUAAGCACCUAAUUCUAUUGAUUAAUUAAUAAUGUUAACAACAAAAUCAUUUAACAUUGUAUUAAAUAGUAAACAAAAAACCAUAUAAAUGUUAAGAUCCCUACAUAGGUACCAUAAGAUAAAGUUACUAAUAAUAAUUUAAGCUUUUAAAAACUGAACUUACACAAUGUAUUAAGAUGAAUUGUUUAGGCCUAUGAGGUUUAAAAAUUGUGUAUGAAAUAUUAAUAAUACAAUAUGCAUAUAGUGUCUAAUGAGUGUUGUUAAAUGUCAAAUCACUAAAAAACUUGUUUAUGAAAGUACUUUGGAUUAUGGGUAUUGCAAUGUCCUUAUUUUGAUGAAGUGAUAAUUAAUUUUAUAGAUUUCAAGUACUCUCCUUUGAUUAAAAACAAAAUAUAAGGUAAAUAAAUACACUAAAUGCACUAUGGGUUUGAUAACAUAAAUAAAAAGUAUAUAAUAUAAUAUAGGUAACAACAAUAUAAUAUAAAAGUAAAAAUAAUUAAU
This is a long non-coding RNA of Myzus persicae (green peach aphid), 1454 nucleotides long. RefSeq lists it as uncharacterized. The record is from RefSeq and is a predicted model, not a curated record. The transcript is spliced from 3 exons. NCBI's taxonomy places the organism in Eukaryota, Metazoa, Arthropoda, Insecta, Hemiptera, Aphididae.